UGGGGAAUAUUGGACAAUGGGCGAAAGCCUGAUCCAGCCAUGCCGCGUGUGUGAAGAAGGUCUUCGGAUUGUAAAGCACUUUAAGGUGGGAGGAAGGGCAGUAAGCGAAUACCUUGCUGUUUUGACGUUACCGACAGAAUAAGCACCGGCUAACUCUGUGCCAGCAGCCGCGGUAAUACAGAGGGUGCAAGCGUUAAUCGGAAUUACUGGGCGUAAAGCGCGCGUAGGUGGUUCGUUAAGUUGAAUGUGAAAGCCCCGGGCUCAACCCGGGAACUGCAUCCAAAACUGGCGAGCUAGAGUAGGGGAGAGGGUGGUGGAAUUUCCUGUGUAGCGGUGAAAUGCGUAGAUAUAGGAAGGAACACCAGUGGCGAAGGCGACCACCUGGGCUCAGACUGACACUGAGGUGCGAAAGCGUGGGGAGCAAACAGG
Molecule: ribosomal RNA, 429 nt
Filed under: Pseudomonadota bacterium
Lineage: Bacteria; Pseudomonadati; Pseudomonadota
Description: Proteobacteria bacterium partial 16S ribosomal RNA
Rfam family: Bacterial small subunit ribosomal RNA
Source: RNAcentral